GGUUGACUUGCUUGGAGCCUUAGCAAAAGCCCUCUUUCCAGGGCUUGUUCCAUGUGACUUAAAAUACUAAUCAUUUCUUUCAUUCAUCAAAUAUAUAGUUGUUGCCUAUGAUAUGCCAGGUACCAUGCUAGGCUCGGUGUGUACAAUGGUAAAUAGGAUGCAAUCUUCUGCUUUCAAAGGGCUCCCCAUUCAGUUAGGAACACAGGAAAAGACAUGAGCAAAUACAACAGAGGCACUUGCAGUCUGGGCUACAUUAUAACUUCCUAAUAUUUUGCCUUUGUUGACCCCUUCUUCCAUAAAAAUAUUAAAAACUGUAUUUCAUGUUUAUACGAAGUGCCUAAAGACAAAUGUAUUAAUAUUAUAUAUUAAAACACUUUCUUCAAUCUGAAAAUUAACUUUUUCUUCCGGUUUUAAAGGAAAUUAAAACAUUUUCAUGGGCCUCUGAAAGCAUUGUGGGCCCUAGAUUCUCUGCCUACUUUGCCUAAUAGAGAAGUUAGCCCUGCUUGCCAUACAUAUUUUCUUCCCUAUUUUAGGAUAACUCAGCCCCCCUGUUUUAUUUCUUUCAUUCAUUUCUGAGAAUGAGGACUCCUCUGUUAUGACAAUUCUGUGUUUGGUUUCCAUCAACCGAAACUGUGCAUAUUGACAAAGAGUAACAAUGAAAUCACAUUUAAAUGAAAGUAUUUUAAUUUAUCAUGACAGCAGCUUCAAAUAUGUCUGUCAAACAAUAAGAAUGGCUAAAAUGCACCGAGCCCUAACUAUGUAAGCAGCACUGUUCCUCAGAUAUUAACUCAUUUAAGACAACAACCCUGUGAGGUGAUAUUAUCACCAUUAUCUCCAUUUUACAGAUGAAGAAACUGAAGUAUUCAGAGGUUAAAUAACUUGUUCAGGGCCACACAACUAGUAAGAGACACAGCCAGCAUUUGAACCUAAAAUGUUAGUCUCCAGAGCCUUCCUUGCUAUGUUAGAUGACCUAGGACAUAAUUAUGUGAAACCUUACCCAGGCUGUUUUCUACCCAGCUGUGAAUUUCUCGCUCUUUACAGAGCUGCAGCUGCCAGGAGCCCACAGUCCACAGGCUGGGAACAUGUACUUAGGGUAAAGGUUCUAACCCUUCUCAUAGCAUUAAGCUGUCAUGGGACUCUGUUAGUACCUGAAAUGUUUCUAUUUCAGGGAGCCUAUUAUGGGUGCCCUAGGGCUCCCUCUGGUAGCUGUACAUGGGCCAACUGAACAAGAAGCUUGUCUCUUCCACCUCAGUUCUCUCUACCCACAGAAUGAUCUAGGAGCUCUGGACUGCCCUAGACCCUUGCAUUGUCCAUAGACUUGAAGACUGGAAUUAUAGCCACUACCUCCCUGGGUUGCUUCCUCACCAACAAUGUAGAUUCACAGAAAAGGAAUUUAGGUUAAAAAGAUGAUGUCUUAAAUUCUAGGUCCACAACGCCAGAACAGUCCUUGUUUGCCAAGUAGAAAUUUAUGUAAUCACAAGACUAAAGACACUUUUUAUUUCCAAAAUGUUUUUGCAACCAACAUAAUAAUUCCCCCUAAGUAAGUGCCAAAAUACUUUUCCCUGAGUCCUCUUAAGUGCUUUGAGUUGCUAGAAAAAUAUGCUUCUGAAAUUUUACAGUUAACUCUGGAGCUGAAGCUGUGCUAUAUAAGAAAGAAAGAGAUGAAGGGAACAUUUAAACUGUGAUAGACAUCAUGGGAGAAGGGGAGACAAUGGUCUGACUCGUAUAUACAGUUUUCUGGUCCACAAAUAUCAUUCGCUCAACAAGACUUUUAGUACAGAAUCAAAAGCAAUGGUAGAAAACUAUGAUGGUUUUUCUGUAUUGGAGAGACAAAGCUUCAGAGCUUGUCAUUUUUUUUUUCAUUCAUGCAGGUUGGAGCCAACACGCAUGCUGUGCCUAAAUAAUAACAUAUACAAUUAAUGGAGGGAAAUAUAUGAGAGCUGGCCCAGAAUAGUCCUUUAGACUGUGACAUUUGGGCAAUGAGCUGACAGAUUAAAAAGAUCAUGUGGCCUUCUAAUACAACAUUGCCUCCUUUCUUAAAAACAACCAAAAAAUGAUGUUUUUAAAAAUAAGCUUAAAUACCAUGGGAGUCUAUCCCUAAGUCCCUGGACUCUGCAUAAAGAAGUGUCUAAUCACUGAGCUGGAGUUUCUGGAAUGGGAUUCCAGGCAGAGGCAAAUGCUUCCAUCAGGGCUUGUGGACAGGUGACAGAUGGUGGAUUUUCGCCUUUCAGCACAUAACUGUAACCUCAUGCACUGUCUGAGUUUAUUUUCAACCCCCUACACAAGGGCUUAUUGUUUAUAAUAAGCUGUCCUCUAAACCCAUUUCCAGGAAAAGAUUCCCCAUGUGUGUCAGCCUGCAUCACUUCCCGGGCUGCACAGUGACCAUGAAGACUCCAGGCCAAAUGUCAAGAGCCAACACAGGGGAGGGGGCAAUAAAUUUUCCAGUCUUUGUUAUAAUUUAUAUUAGUGCCCAGUCAGUCUCAGGUGCAUCUUAGAACACAUUACUUAGAAUUUGCAGCCUCACUUCUACUUUCUCACCCAGAAUGAAAACCAACACACAUUUCACCAAGCCAUUUCUACUUGUUAUAAAAAGAGGGAAGAAAAUAAAAUUUUGUCUCACAGGUCAGGUUUCUAUCUCAAGGUGGGAAAACUCAGUAAUUUAUACUCAGAAAGUAAACAAGCUGCACCCACCCCCAGCCUACAAGGUGUAUAAACAUUAAAUGAGCAAUUCUAAUUUUAUUCUCAGAACUGUUUGUGUUCUGAGUCAACUCUUGCCUUCUCUUUAUUUUGAAGCUAGAAAAUACAGGCCUCUGAUUUUAUCUAAGACCCUGUAAUUCCACUGGGCUUUUCAGAAGGAUUGGGGUCAACACAAGGACAUGAAUCUGAAUGAGCACAAACUCUAGCUAUACGGCCCCACCUAAAAUGUGAGGCAAAGAACAGCUCUGAGAUCCAUGAACAUCAAUUUACUUCAGGGAGAAGCUGGAUAAAACUUUGAGUUUGGUCUCAAAAUAGCCUGAACAAUUUUAGUUUUCUGACAGCAUUUGGUGGCAAGCCUGUUAGAGAACAGCAUCUUGAAAUUUCCCAUUUGUGUGCUGUAGAUAGCAUAUCAUCUGGGCACACCCAGAGCUUCAGAAGCAUUAAUCACCAAGGUACACCUGCCAUGGAACACAGGUCUCAGGAGAGAAAGGGAGAGAGUUUUCUAUGGACCCCCAUACCUUGUGUUGCGUACAUUUUUGCCUACUUGAUUGACUAACAACUCACCUAAUUGCUAACCCAGGGAGCCACUGGGGUGCAGUGGUUAAGAGCGUGGACACUUGAGUGAGGUCUUGAUUCAAAUCUCAGCUCUGCCAUGUACUGGCUGUAUGAUCAGAGACAAGUUUCUUCUCUGAGCCUUAGCUGUCUAAUGAGACGAAGUCUGAUGGGACCUAGCACAGUACCUGCACAUUUAGGGACUCAAGUCUCUUUCUCUCCCACACUUUUCUUUCCCUGAGCAUUAAUAAGAAGGAUAAGUAUGAAAGUACUCAGCAUCUAUGUAUUCAAACUAGCUCACUAGACAUAAAUGUGGCAGAUAUUCUUGUGAUGGUACAGGAAGAGGCCAAGAAUAGAGACCUUCAUCCUCACUUUGCUUAAUAUAGGCUCAAAGUUCCCAUAUAAAUGGACUGGUUAUACUACAAAUAUGUCAGGUUUGGUAUAACUUGAAAUAUAUGGCCCAAAGCAGGAAAAAACCUUUCUCCUUAUAUAAAGGUGCUUAUUGUAAUAGAAUCAGCCAUUUUAUAAUCUGAUCCAUAUUAGCAUUUUUUACUUGACAAUCUCAAAGAAAUUCUUGGCAUCAAUACUGACUUUUUAUAACAUUGCCAGUGGGUAAAGAAGAUAACAAAACAUUUGCUCACCAGUUAUGCACCUUAGCUUCCAGCAUCAGCUGUGUGAGUGAACCAAAAGGGCAGUUGCAGAAACUGAAUAUAGACUCCCAUCCCUCACUCUAGCAUUCCCACCAAUAGGACUUACGUCAUCCUUCCUGGGCAGUUGGGUGGAUGGGGUUUAAGGGAGCGUGUGAAUUCAGGAGACCUGCUUGGCUGGUUCAUAGAAUUUGCCCUGGGUGGAGCUUUAAUUUUAAGGAACACCUUCCUUCUGUGGGCCUGAGGAGCUGCAGUGUAUUUAAGCUCUAGUCUGCUGGACUUGAAUGAGCCCAGUGGAAAGGAAUGGCUAGUGUGAUCAUAGAGCCUUUAAGACAUUGGACACUCACUCACUCACCUAUUAAAGGAGGAACAAGUCUUAGGAAUCAUGCUUCCUUGGUGCCCAUUCACUCACUAAGCUCUUUAGGAGAUUUAGAUUAGACGCAUAGAUCUUAGCAGUCCUCCAAACCAAACGCCUUGUUUUACCGAUGAAUGAACCAGCCUAAAGUCACACAGAUCAUAAGUGGCAGAUCCAUGACCAAGGUCAUGAUUUGAUGAUUUCUAAUUCUCUAACACCCUACCCUUCCUUAUGUAAAGACAAAUUAGAUGAGACUUUGUCCUCAAGGAGUUCACAAUCAUGCAGGGGAAAUGAGACUGUGCAAAUGAACAAUGGUUAUCCCAGCAUGAAAGCGUGAUAGGGAGGGGGCAGAGAUUUAACAUAUGCUGAACACCUACCAUGUGCAAAGGGUUUAUUAUACAUUUUCUCAUUUAAUCCUCACAUCAAACGUAUGAGGAAUACAUUAUCAUCCCAUUUUAUUGAUAAGGAAAUGGAGGCUCAGUGAUUCUGCUGUAGCCUGUCUACAUAUCCACUGCUCUGGAGACCCAGGUUGAGUGGACUCCUGAGGAAGGGUGGUUCAGGCGGAGAAGGCUGCUUGGAAAGAUGAGGCUUGAGUUGGUGCAUUGCACUUGAUUAGGUGCAGAGAAGCCUCAACAGAUGGAGGAAACACAGAUGGUCUCCCCAUGAUUACAUCACCACCCAGAGAAGGUUGGAAGCAGUUACACGCCCACUGCUUUGCAGUCUCAAAUGUAAACUGCCUAGAAAACUGAGCAUGCUGAUGAGAAGUUUUGUCUUAAACCUGCAGCACCCCUAUUUACAGAUGGUCUAUUCUGAGCAAGGAGCAACACAAUAUAUAGUGGGGAGUUCCUGAGGAUGUAGAGGACCCUGAUGCCCCUUUUGUGAGUUUAUCAUUUCAUGAAGAACUAGAACCGGCAUCAGUGAAGGGCAGAGAGACGGACAGUUGGACGUAGCCAUAUGCAAGUGCUGAGGGAGAGUCAGGGAGAACAGAAUAAUGACAGGUAGCAUGGUGUGGUGUGUGGCGAGUUUAAGAAGGAGGAAUAGCCUGAGCAAUGGUUUGAAGAACUGGCUUGGCAGAGAGCAGGGAGAAGCUCCUGAGGGAAGGUUUUGAGGUGAAGAAGGAAAAUUCCAUGCUUAGCUGGAGGAGAGAACACAAGACAGAGUAUGGCAGCUGGAGAUGAAGCAGUUUGGUAAGGAAUAUAUGUUGGGAAGUUUAGAAACUCAUAGAUUCAACCACAUUACCCUUGAUCACCUGUACACAGAACCUCAAAGACCUCAUCCACUUCAAAUACCUUUGGUUAUUACUUUGGUGUUGUCAUAUCCCCUGUGUACAUGGGGGUCCUGAGUCAGAAAGAGAAACAGAGAAAGGCCUUUCCAGAACUGAGAUUUGUAUUAUCCCCUUUCCCUAACAAAAGUAGAGGCUUAAUGCAAGAGAUCAACUAGAUUCAAGUAAACACUUAAUUUACAUUUUAUAAAGGGGCUUCAGAAUGCACAUAGACCUUCAAUUGAAAUGUGCAGGAAAAUUAAAUCACUAACUAUCAAUGGGCAUGAGUUGCUCUUUGAGGAAUCUCUAUUAUACAUAAGCUUAAGGAGAUGCUCAAAUACACUGGGUGCCCAAUUUUCUGAACUCUUUGUGGCUGUAAAGGUGAAAACUGGAAUUUGUGUUUAGCAAAGCCUCUCAUGCAGUAAGAAAGUAAAAACAUUCUUCUUGAGGAAACACUGGACAAAUGGAAAUACCUAAAGGCGGGGGCUUCAGACUGAGAUGAUAAACAUACUGUUUGACAAUAAAAGACUUGCAAUAAUAGGUCAUUGUGUUUAUUUCUGCAAAAAUAAUAUUCGUUGCCUGAUUUUUUAAACUUCCUCUAAUGGAGAGAGAGACAGAAGACUAGAACGUUGGUCUCUGGGGAGUGACCACGGUUACCAUAAACAGUGGUGCAGGGAGUGCCCUGCAAAAUGUGCCUGCUAAGAGGACAACUGGGGAGAGAAAUACAGUAACCUCCAUUAGAAUAUGAGUUCCAUGUAAGUUGUAGAAGAUCCAGGAGAGGAAGAUUUAGGACUCUGAAGCUGUUGCUGCCUCCCUGAAACAUGGCGUGAACAUUUGUCUUCCAAUCAUCAGAUUUACUGUGAUUGAAAAGUCUGAACACCUUGGAGAAUACCACUUGUGGAGGAGAGAAGCUGGCCCUUUACCUUGGCUAUUAGCACUUAUUCCUAUACCAUCAUCGAGAGAAAGAUAAGUCAGUUACUAAUUCUGUCUACUCCCUUCACCCCCAAUAAUUGACAAGAGAUCUCUUUGGAAACUCAACAUGAUACAGCUAGAUUCAGGUGAAAGACAGAGGUAGGUGUCAACCUUUUUCCUGCAAAUCUAUGCAAAUACUCUAUUGCCCCAUCCCUUCUUUAAAAUGUAACUGGAAGACACAACCAACCAACCAACCAACCAAAAAACAAUACAACACCCUAAGUGCAAAUGGAACAAAGACUCUUGGUGUUAGUUAGAUGAAGGAUUCCAGUGUGAGGGGUUUUCAAGCUUCUUGCUGGACUUCGAGAUCUCCUAGUGCGUAUAAGCACAAACUGGUUUUUGCAGUAACUUAUGGAUCUCAGAAGGCUGUAGAAUUAGCAGGCCUUGCGUGAGAAUGUUGUUCCAUUAUUUACUCACAGUAGUCACAUAGAAGCCCACAGGAGCUGUCAAGGCCAGCAUUAGACUGAGCUUGCAAGCAGAACUGUUCUUUCUUACAUCUUGUUCAGAGGCCCUUUCUAAAGAAAUCAUCACCACAUAUUUAAAAUAUGAUGGGCUUGGUCUGACUUCAUUUUGGGUGGUGCAAAACUUUGUCCAUUUUUUUCCAAUUUGGGAAAAUUAUAGUACUGGCAUUGCAGUUAACCCUGGGAGGCUCGCUCUUUACUCCCCUCCCACAUUUAUAGAUUGUUCCAUUCAUACUUAGUUUCCUCUUCCAAAGAAGCAUGGAUUCAUUGUUCCACCAUUACACUAUUCAGUUUCUGCCAGUUAAGUGGUAACAAUUUUCAACUGUUUCAGUGAUGGCUCUUUUCUUUUUAACUUCUAGAGCCAUAUACCACAAUUCUGAGGUUGGUCAUCAUUGGAUUACAGCUGGGAUUUGUCUGGUCUAGACUUAGGUGUCAAAUACAUGGAGAAAAAAGAGCAGCAACAGCCAAGGGCAUUCAUGACAUCUUUGUACACUUCUAAACCUCAGUAAUUUAGGUUGUAACCCUGUUAGAAAUAAUCUGCAAGUGGUUUUCAGAAAAAUAUUUAUUAAAUUUUAAACAACUACAUUUGUUAAGUUUAAGACAAGCAUACAUGAUGUGCUUUUUUUCCCCAGAAUCUAUGACAAAUAACAAAGGAUGCCAUAGAUGACAAGGUAAACCUCUGUCCUAUCAUUAGCAAGACUGAAGUCCAUAUCAGUUGUGAGAAAAGAAUGUAAUUUGCAUUUAAGUGCCAUUUAUAACUUGUUUCUUUCAUACUUGCAGCCUAAGUUGCAGAACUUUGAAGGUUAAAUGUUUAAAAGCUGCUCAAGUAUUUUAUAACAUCUGAAUUUUAGGAGAGUAUGCACUUUUUUCACAGUUAUGUUUAAGAUAUCACUUUAAAAAAAAAAGGACUUGUAAAAGGAGUUCUUCAUAUACCCCAGGUAAGGUAAAAGUCAUUUAAUGGCUGGGGACACUGAGUCAGAGGUCUCAGUGGACAAUUCUCUCUGCUUUCCUUUGAGACUCUGUUUCUGGCAUUGUCCUGGCCUUCCCAGCAUCUCUACUAUCAAGCCUGGGGACAAGCCCUACAAUUCAGGAAUUAGCUUUUUGGCCAGCAAACACCUAGAUCUAUUCCAUACACCAUCUGGACCUCAGUUGAACAGCAUUUGGGGGGAGCUUUUGAAAAUGGGAAACGAAUGUUGCUUUGUCUGUUCUAAGUCAAAGAACUGAAGAGACCAGGUGCAAUGUCUCAUGCCUGUAACCCCAGCACUUUGGGAGGCCGGGGCGGGGAGAUCACGAGGUCAG
RNAcentral lists this long non-coding RNA (8244 nucleotides) under Homo sapiens (human). RNAcentral's name for it is "HSALNT0327087". Lineage: Eukaryota; Metazoa; Chordata; Mammalia; Primates; Hominidae. The record is from RNAcentral.